CCCAGACUCCUACGGGAGGCAGCAGUGGGGAAUAUUGGGCAAUGGAGGAAACUCUGACCCAGCAAUGCCGCGUGAAUGAAGAAGGUCUUCGGAUUGUAAAGUUCUUUAGUCAGGGAAGAAGUCAAUGACGGUACCUGAAGAAUAAGCUCCGGCUAACUACGUGCCAGCAGCCGCGGUAAUACGUAGGUGGCAAGCGUUGUCCGGAUUUACUGGGUGUAAAGGGCGUGUAGCCGGGCCGGCAAGUCAGAUGUGAAAUCCCAAGGCUCAACCUUGGAACUGCAUUUGAAACUGUUGGUCUUGAGUAUCGGAGAGGCAGGCGGAAUUCCUAGUGUAGCGGUGAAAUGCGUAGAUAUUAGGAGGAACACCAGUGGCGAAGGCGGCCUGCUGGACGACAACUGACGGUGAGGCGCGAAAGCGUGGGGAGCAAACAGGAUUAGAUACCCGAGUAAU
This 450-nucleotide ribosomal RNA is filed under the name uncultured bacterium. RNAcentral describes it as "partial 16S ribosomal RNA". It matches the Rfam family "Bacterial small subunit ribosomal RNA", at positions 330 to 794 of the family's 1533-position model. The record is from RNAcentral.